GAUGGGCCCGCGGCGCAUUAGCUAGUUGGUGAGGUAACGGCUCACCAAGGCGACGAUGCGUAGCCGACCUGAGAGGGUGAUCGGCCACACUGGGACUGAGACACGGCCCAGACUCUUACGGGAGGCAGCAGUAGGGAAUCUUCCGCAAUGGACGAAAGUCUGACGGAGCAACGCCGCGUGAGCGAUGAAGGCCUUCGGGUCGUAAAGCUCUGUUGUUAGGGAAGAACAAGUACCGGAGUAACUGCCGGUACCUUGACGGUACCUAACCAGAAAGCCACGGCUAACUACGUGCCAGCAGCCGCGGUAAUACGUAGGUGGCAAGCGUUGUCCGGAAUUAUUGGGCGUAAAGCGCGCGCAGGCGGUCCUUUAAGUCUGAUGUGAAAGCCCACGGCUCAACCGUGGAGGGUCAUUGGAAACUGGGGGACUUGAGUACAGAAGAGGAAAGCGGAAUUCCACGUGUAGCGGUGAAAUGCGUAGAGAUGUGGAGGAACACCAGUGGCGAAGGCGGCUUUCUGGUCUGUAACUGACGCUGAGGCGCGAAAGCGUGGGGAGCAAACAGGAUUAGAUACCCUGGUAGUCCACGCCGUAAACGAUGAGUGCUAAGUGU
This 607-nucleotide ribosomal RNA is filed under the name uncultured Bacillota bacterium. RNAcentral describes it as "bacterial SSU rRNA". It matches the Rfam family "Bacterial small subunit ribosomal RNA", at positions 224 to 823 of the family's 1533-position model. Lineage: Bacteria; Bacillati; Bacillota. The record is from RNAcentral.